AUGCAUUACUUUUAGCAUAGAGCCAGGAACUGAAUACCUUUGAUAAAUAUGCAUUGCAUAAAUGAACAUGUAAAGAGUGACUACUUACUUAAUUCAUGUAAUUUGUGAGACGAUGCGUUUCUACAUCAAGAUCAAGUUACAGUUUUGUUGCAUCUGUUUCUAAUGGCCUCAAGAGGGUAGCAGCAGAAGAAAGAAGUAGUACAGAACAUUGGAACAAUGUUUACUCAUCAAGAAACGAUGUUUCUGUAGACAAUAUAAAGCUGAUGUUCUUGCUACUGCUACUGCUGUUGUUUUAAAACAGUAUUAAACUAAAUAAGCGGAAAAAGCAAUCAAGUACACGGAGCUGGACGAGGAUCCCAGAAUGUCUACAUUGUCCAUGAAUCAACAAUCUCCCUAUGGGACUGUGAUGAAGUUACUCACUUUAUAACAUUAACUUAAGGAGUUAUAGGGUGGCAAUUUUUUUUAUUUCUUUGAACACACAUCUAUAACACGCAAGCAACAGAUUAAAAGCCU
Miniopterus natalensis is the source of this 513-nucleotide non-coding RNA. The record is from RefSeq and is a predicted model, not a curated record. NCBI's taxonomy places the organism in Eukaryota, Metazoa, Chordata, Mammalia, Chiroptera, Miniopteridae.